AGAGAGGGGUCGGCCUGCAGACUACCGCAGUGACCCGGUCCGCUGGUGUUGCUGCUGCUUCUGCUGCCCGUCCGGACCCCAGCUCCGGCUCCCUGUGCUUCCUUCUCCCUCCUCCGGUUUCCAAUACAAACACCACGGUGCGUGAAACUAGUGAAUAUGAUGCAUUGGCGCACACCAAAAGCCCCGCAGCUCACUUCUGGAGCGCGGUUAGAUAAUCCUCAGGGACACUUCAGAGAAUAUAAAGGACAACAAAAAGCCUCAGUGAGCGUCUAUCUGUGAAAAUCUACUUAAAUGAAGGUUACAUAAACGCUAUCUAUCCAUGACAGCCGUCAGUGUACGUGUGUGCGCGGGACCACACGGUCGCAUCGCUCGGUGCGUUUCCUCUGGCCAGUCCCUCCUUAAAUAUCGCCUUCCACCCGGUGACUGCUGCUUUUUGUGCCUCCUGUGCGUGUGAGAGAGAGGGAGGGAGGGAGUAUAUCCUACUGACGGGGGGGGGCGUGCGUCUCUUUCCGUCCGGAGCUCCAAACCAAACCGUAUCCGGGCUCGGGCUUCCUAUCCGAGGCUGAGUCGGCGGCGUCCUGUGGAUCCGAAAAGAGCCGGGCGAGCUCCCAGCAUGCUUCCCAGCCGUAAUGGCCGCUUCUGUCCGAGGCUUUGCGGCCCCUGGGUCCGUGUGAAUGUGUGUGCGUGUGUCUCUCUCCCUCCUAUGCUCAGGUUUCUCGGUCCUUCCUGCAGUGGCUGUCUUCCAUCCCUCUCUACCGGCCGCGCCAGGAACCUCCGCCACAGGAAUUUGUAGAGCCGGUGGGGAAGAGCUAGCUAGCCUAGCUGAACAGGUGGAAAAUGGAGCUGGAGCGCCCUCAGACGGAGAUAGUGGCUCAGUGACAAAUCUUGUUCAGGUGUUUUAAAAUAUUGUUUAUUAUUUUCUACUGUAACGGACGUUAAACCAGUUUACUAAAGCAAUAACCCCCUGAUUGAAAACUACUUGUAGCAUGCUAACACUUAACGUUAACUGAAAAUCUAUACCAGGGAUGUCAAACUCAUUUUGUAUCGUGGGCCACAUACAACCCCGUUUUUGUCAGACUAAAUACAUUUAACCCCAUUUAAUAUAAUAAAAAGAAGGGGAAUUUCUUCUUUUUUCAUUUUUACUCCAAGAUGAAGAAAUUCUGCUUCAGUAAAUGAAAGAAAACUGUCGGCACAAUUAACUAAUGUGUAAAAUUACAGAAAGUUCUGGUACCUCAUUUCCCAUUCACAUUUAUUCACAUAGCGGAAAAAACAGGACAUUUUCUCCAUUUUAAUUCUUAUUGUUUAUCUAUUUACUUUGGUGUGGUAUGAAGAGCCAUGGUGGUCUUUAUAUGUAGGAAAAGCUGUAAAACCAAUGCAAAUACAGUUAAAAGUAAAAAAUCUAUGAGCUCAUUCACAAUUUCCAAAGUAGUCCAGGGGCUCCAUGGUCUUCGGUGGGCCGAUUCUGGCCCCCGGGCCUUAUGUUUGACAUUUGUGAUCUAUAAGUUCUGUUUUAAUUAAAUUUGUCAGUUUUUAACAUUUUGUUUGUUUGUUUUGCAAAAGGCACAUACAUGUUAAAGUCCCCCACAACUCAAGAGAAGUCCUUUUGUAUUUUUAUGUCUCUCUCUGAUCAUUUUUCAGCAUAACUUCGAACUUUGUUUUAGUCAUUUUGUAUAUUUUUCUGCUUGUUUUCAGUUUCUUUUUAGAAAUCUUUUUGUCUUUUUGGUGGUUUUGAUUUUUCCUUCAAUAGUGAUAUUUUAUUUCAGUUUAUUUCAGUGAUCUGAAUCACUUCACAGUCUGUUUGUCAUUUGUGUCUUUUUGCAGUUCCCUGAUUUCACCCCCAUAAUCUAAUAUUAACAGAAGGUCUGUCUCAAAAGCUCCCUGAUCCCUUGUGGUCCCUGCAGGCUUGUUCAGUAAUUUCUCUACAUUCAUCAACCCCCAACUAAUUGAUCAUGCAUGAGGAUUUGCAACCACAAGGCAUUUUGGCCAUGGACUGACACACAUCACAUUAACAUUACCCCAGUGAUGUAAACACAAACAGACACUUUAGGGAUACGGAUCUGGCACCCUCUGUAUCUACAGGAAGUCAAGGGAGAUGAAUCCAAAAUGUGAGAACUGAAAGAAAAACAUUCCAGCAGAUGUUGUUGUCUUAAAAAACAAAUAAACUCGGGCUAAUGUGACUCUGGUCUCAUGGUCCCGUCGUUUCUUUUGUACUUUACAGCAUUGAACAGCCAGAGAAAAACAUCUUUCACUCUCUAUAAAGUACAGACAGAGUUUCACUGAUAAAAUGAGAAAAAAGCAGGUGAUUCCUCCUAAAAAUGAAACAAGCUGUCAGUGUGUGAAACCCUUAUAUCUCCAUCUAGUGGUGGAGAACGGAAAUUACAGAUGAGUCAGACUUGGCCUGAAUGACCUCUUGUUUAUGUUUCUCCACUUGUAUGUUUUCAUCUUCACGCCUUGAUGUGUAUUAAUAGUAAAUACAUAAGCGUGAACAUAAAUAAAAGUAGUAAAAUAUGUGUUCAAGUGUAUUUUUCACUGUUUUCUUCCUGCAGUGCGAGUCUUCUGCAUGUGUGUUUGUUAGCAUGUGUAUUGUUGUGUGUCUGUGCUGCAUGCAGAGUCCAGCUGCACUGUGAAUGUGCCAAAAGUACACAAAGUCCUCGACACAACAGCAUGACCAAACACCUCAGCUGCAGAGCUCCACCUCGCCUUCUAACUUUAACGUCAGCCACAAACAUUUCACACAGAAACCUCUCUGCUGCUUUCCUGCCUAUUCAUGAAACAUCUAAAAAAUGAAAGCUAACAUCAAACAGUCUGAUCUCAUUAUCCACGCUUGCAUUUUUGUUUGAAUUACUUCCUAAUAAUGCAGCUGAGCGCCCUUAAUAACCAGCAGAGAUUAAAUCAAAUCUAUUGUGAGUGACUCGGAUUUAAGUUAAGACUCUUUACAGGGUCUGACCUUUGCUCUACUGUUUUGACUUUCACAAAUAAACAGAUUCAAUCACAGAUAAAAAUGCAUUUAAAAGAUUAUAACAACAAAGCAUGCGUAUAAACUCUUAACUGGUUCAAGUGUAAUCGGUGACGUCUGGAAUCAGACGUUUCCAGUCAUGCAAUGAGAAAAUAUGAAUGGCAUGAGAAGCAGUUUAAUGCAUCUAUUUUGGGUAAGUGCUUUAGCUUUGAUCCAAAUACUUGUAGAUUCAUGCAAGUAACCACUUUAGCUUAUCCCUUAUUAAUUUAUAAAGACUAUUACUCCAAAAUGUGAUUAUUUAAAAUUGUCUUGACGGAUGAAAAGAAUGUGGAUGUAUAACACAGGUUUUCUUAUGUUUCAGUUUCAUUGUAACAUAUAAUUUAAAAAAGAACAGAUUUAAAUGUGUCUAUAAUAUUUUUCUGUAAAUGAAUAGAUUUAGUGUCUUAAUGAAAACACGUUUAACGUGCUGCUGUUACAAUCUUCGCUGGUUCUGAACCUUUGACCCCAUAAGACCAGAAAUGAAUCCCAGGAGAUGACACUGCUAAAAACGUCUGUCAAGUUUAUUUAUAGUUUUAUAUUCAGUUGAUUUCCAGACCAGCAAGUAUCUUACAGUACAUGACAUCACAGAUCUAUCACAAUCACACUCUAAAACACAUUUUGCCUUAAGAAACCAGACAUCACGAGCUCUUGGUGCAUCUUAAAGUAUACCCUGCUUUACUGCCCAUUUUACUCUAAAUUAACCCAUCACUGACAAAAUGAACAUCAUGUUGUAAGAAAUAUGACUUUAAACUGGUGACUGAGACCAUAAAUUUAACAGAAAAAUGUUUACUGUGGUCACAGAGUAAGAUAGAAAUAGAACUAGUUUCUGAUAUAUUUUUUGUACAGUUUGACCGCUCUUUGAGAGCUUCUUAGCAUUUACUGCCCCAGGAGAUCUUUGAGGUCAGCAGACUUGAUGCUUUUAGAUGUUCCCAGGUACAGAUUAAAGACUAGGGGAGAGAGGGCUUUUGCUGUGGCUGCACCCAGACUGUGGAACAGUCUACCCCCUCACAUCAGAUUCUCCACAAGCCUAGGAACUUUUAAAACUGCUCUUAAAACUCACCUAUUUUCACUGGCUUUUAGCAAGGUUUAACCUAUUGUUUUUAAUUUAUUGUUUUAUUUGUGAGGCAUUUUAUGUACCUGUGUUUUAUAGUAUUUUAUAUUUGUAUUUUAUUGUACAGCACUUUGGUCAGCCUCGGUUGUUUUUAAA
Molecule: long non-coding RNA, 4202 nt
Organism: Oreochromis niloticus (Nile tilapia)
Lineage: Eukaryota; Metazoa; Chordata; Actinopteri; Cichliformes; Cichlidae
Exons: 2
Source: RefSeq, a predicted model, not a curated record